Molecule: unclassified non-coding RNA, 240 nt
Filed under: soil metagenome
Description: partial contains 5.8S ribosomal RNA, internal transcribed spacer 2, and large subunit ribosomal RNA
Source: RNAcentral
AACAUCGCGCACCUGCGGGAACCUGCGGAAGGAUCAUUAAUGAUUGGUGGCUGUUGCUGACUAGUGUUUCUAGUAUGUGCACGCCACACCUUCAAUCCCACUUACACCUGUGCACCUUCUGUAAUAGAUCUAUGUGGAUACGAAGAUAUGAAAGUUUGCGCUCUCGUACUCUGUUGAAGCAGUCUACUACGUUUUUUUACACACACACAAUAGUCAUUGAAUGUAUUUUUUAUUCUUAUG